GAACGCGAAGAACCUUACCUGGUCUUGACAUGUACGGAAUCCUCCAGAGACGGAGGAGUGCCUUCGGGAGCCGUAACACAGGUGCUGCAUGGCUGUCGUCAGCUCGUGUCGUGAGAUGUUGGGUUAAGUCCCGCAACGAGCGCAACCCUUGUCAUUAGUUGCCAUCAUUUAGUUGGGCACUCUAAUGAGACUGCCGGUGACAAGCCGGAGGAAGGUGGGGAUGACGUCAAGUCCUCAUGGCCCUUAUGACCAGGGCUUCACACGUCAUACAAUGGUCGGUACAGAGGGUAGCCAAGCCGCGAGGUGGAGCCAAUCUCACUAAAACCGAUCGUAGUCCGGAUUGCACUCUGCAACUCGAGUGCAUGAAGUCGGAAUCGCUAGUAAUCGCAGGUCAGCAUACUGCGGUGAAUACGUUCCCGGGUCUUGUACACACC
RNAcentral lists this ribosomal RNA (434 nucleotides) under uncultured bacterium. Its description in RNAcentral is "bacterial SSU rRNA". It matches the Rfam family "Bacterial small subunit ribosomal RNA", at positions 957 to 1391 of the family's 1533-position model. The record is from RNAcentral.